CCUACGGGCGGCAGCAGUGGGGAAUAUUGGACAAUGGGGGCAACCCUGAUCCAGCCAUGCCGCGUGUGUGAAUAAGGCCCUCGGGUUGUAAAGCACUUUCAGUGAGGAAGAACGCCUGGUGGUUAAUACCCAUCAGGAAAGACAUCACUCACAGAAGAAGCACCGGCUAACUCCGUGCCAGCAGCCGCGGUAAUACGGAGGGUGCGAGCGUUAAUCGGAAUUACUGGGCGUAAAGCGCGCGUAGGUGGCUUGAUAAGCCGGUUGUGAAAGCCCCGGGCUCAACCUGGGAACGGCAUCCGGAACUGUCAAGCUAGAGUGCAGGCGAGGAAGGUAGAAUUCCCGGUGUAGCGGUGAAAUGCGUAGAGAUCGGGAGGAAUACCAGUGGCGAAGGCGGCCUUCUGGACUGAAACUGACACUGAGGUGCGAAAGCGUGGGUAGCAAACAGGAUUAGAUACCCUAGUAGUC
RNAcentral lists this ribosomal RNA (465 nucleotides) under Vreelandella stevensii. RNAcentral describes it as "partial 16S ribosomal RNA". It matches the Rfam family "Bacterial small subunit ribosomal RNA", at positions 338 to 795 of the family's 1533-position model. Lineage: Bacteria; Pseudomonadati; Pseudomonadota; Gammaproteobacteria; Oceanospirillales; Halomonadaceae. The record is from RNAcentral.